GCCCAGACUCCUACGGGAGGCAGCAGUAGGGAAUUUUGCGCAAUGGGGGAAACCCUGACGCAGCAACGCCGCGUGAUUGAUGAAGCCCUUCGGGGUGUAAAGAUCUGUCAGUGGGGACGAAACUUGACGGUACCCACAGAGGAAGCAUCGGCUAACUCCGUGCCAGCAGCCGCGGUAAUACGUAGGGGGCAAGCGUUAUCCGGAUUUACUGGGUGUAAAGGGAGCGUAGACGGCGAUACAAGUCUGAGGUGAAAGCCCGGGGCUCAACCCCGGGACUGCUUUGGAAACUGUGUUGCUGGAGUGCUGGAGAGGCAAGCGGAAUUCCUAGUGUAGCGGUGAAAUGCGUAGAUAUUAGGAAGAACACCAGUGGCGAAGGCGGCUUGCUGGACAGUAACUGACGUUGAGGCUCGAAAGCGUGGGGAGCAAACAGGAUUAGAUACCCCCGUAGA
This 449-nucleotide ribosomal RNA is filed under the name uncultured bacterium. RNAcentral describes it as "bacterial SSU rRNA". It matches the Rfam family "Bacterial small subunit ribosomal RNA", at positions 329 to 794 of the family's 1533-position model. The record is from RNAcentral.